Molecule: transfer RNA, 77 nt
Filed under: Candidatus Buchananbacteria bacterium RIFCSPHIGHO2_02_FULL_45_11b
Lineage: Bacteria; Candidatus Buchananiibacteriota
Also listed under: 1 other name
Description: tRNA-Val
Rfam family: tRNA
About the family: Transfer RNA (tRNA) molecules are approximately 80 nucleotides in length. Their secondary structure includes four short double-helical elements and three loops (D, anti-codon, and T loops). Further hydrogen bonds mediate the characteristic L-shaped molecular structure. tRNAs have two regions of fundamental functional importance: the anti-codon, which is responsible for specific mRNA codon recognition, and the 3' end, to which the tRNAs corresponding amino acid is attached (by aminoacyl-tRNA synthetases). tRNAs cope with the degeneracy of the genetic code in two manners: having more than one tRNA (with a specific anti-codon) for a particular amino acid; and 'wobble' base-pairing, i.e. permitting non-standard base-pairing at the 3rd anti-codon position.
Source: RNAcentral
GGGCAACUAGCUCAGUUGGUUAGAGCGCUUCGUUCACAUCGAAGAGGUCAGAGGUUCGAGUCCUCUGUUGCCCACCA